This is a long non-coding RNA of Oreochromis aureus, 104 nucleotides long. RefSeq lists it as uncharacterized. Lineage: Eukaryota; Metazoa; Chordata; Actinopteri; Cichliformes; Cichlidae. The record is from RefSeq and is a predicted model, not a curated record. The transcript has 3 exons.
CUGUGGAGCUGUGGAGGUGACGGCUGUCUGAGACGGAGCGUCUGCCUCUGCUUUUCAGGCCUGUUUCUGCUGACUGCUGCAGGUGUGUGUGUGCUGCUGCUGUC